Molecule: ribosomal RNA, 451 nt
Filed under: uncultured bacterium
Lineage: Bacteria
Description: partial 16S ribosomal RNA
Rfam family: Bacterial small subunit ribosomal RNA
Source: RNAcentral
GUGAGGAAUAUUGCGCAAUGGGGGAAACCCUGACGCAGCAACGCCGCGUGAGUGAGGAAGGUCUUCGGAUUGUAAAACUCUUUUAUUAGGGAAAAAUGUCUAGGUGGCUAAUAUCCACUUAGAGUGAUGGUACCUAAGGAAUAAGCACCGGCUAACUUCGUGCCAGCAGCCGCGGUAAUACGAAGGGUGCAAGCGUUGUUCGGAAUCAUUGGGCGUAAAGCGCGCGCAGGCGGGUCAGUAAGUCAGGUGUGAAAUCUCGGAGCUCAACUCCGAAACUGCGCCUGAAACUAUUGGUCUAGAGUAUCGGAGGGGACAGGGGAAUUUCACGUGUAGGGGUAAAAUCCGUAGAGAUGUGAAGGAACACCGGAGGCGAAGGCGCCUGUCUGGACGAUUACUGACGCUGAGGCGCGAAAGCGUGGGGAGCAAACAGGAUUAGAUACCCGGGUAGUCC